Molecule: long non-coding RNA, 825 nt
Organism: Canis lupus familiaris (dog)
Lineage: Eukaryota; Metazoa; Chordata; Mammalia; Carnivora; Canidae
Exons: 3
Source: RefSeq, a predicted model, not a curated record
GUUUCUGAGAGCUUUUGGAGGGGAAGGAGCAAGAGAAAUCGGCAUAUAAAUAACUACUUUUAAAAAGAUGGAUAUGUGAGGAAGAUUUCAGCCAUGUCUGCAAAUGUGAGGAAGACAGAGGUUUGGGAGAAAGGGAAUGGAACAAGAUUUAACAACAUAAACAGCCAAAAGGAGCACUAGGGUUUCGACUAUCAUGGAAGAGAUAAUUUGGACACCAUAAAAGACAAAGAGAAAAAUAUUUCGGCAGCUAUAUCAAAAUGACUAAACAGUACAAGAGGAUGCUGAUACAAAGGUAUCAAAAACCUCUAAAUAAGGUGUGGAACAGAAGAUGGAGGAAAGGAACAGAAGGUGGGAGAAGCAACUCGGCAGGUCUGCCCUCCCGGAUGCACGGUCCCUAUGCCCCUAAUUAACAUUCUGCGUGCAGGCAGGGAUUUCAAACAUCAAUGGGAAUUACUGGCAUAUUAACCAAACUCUGUCUUCCAAAUUGUAAGAUGGUCCAAGGUACGAUGCUACGACUUCAGGGGAGAGGGAAAAGGCAAAGCAAUUGUUUUCUUCACAAAAAGCAUAUACAUUAGUAUUUUUGAAUUAAAUUUUUCUUUUGCUUGUAAUUGUCAGUUAUAAUUUUCUAGUUUGGGAUGUUAAUGCAGAAAAAGCAGUGAUCCCCACAUUUUAUAAUAGAUGAGAUGAUUCUAGUGAAUAGAAUUUUUAGAGUUUACUUCAAGAUUCCUCAGGAGGAAAAAUGUCCUAAACACACCAGAGGGGUUUUCGUGAUCCAAAUAAAAGUACCUGUUUGCUUCUCGAAGGUCAUUUUCCAGGGCUUGGGUC